Molecule: ribosomal RNA, 267 nt
Filed under: Escherichia coli
Lineage: Bacteria; Pseudomonadati; Pseudomonadota; Gammaproteobacteria; Enterobacterales; Enterobacteriaceae
Also listed under: 1 other name
Description: partial 16S ribosomal RNA
Rfam family: Bacterial small subunit ribosomal RNA
Source: RNAcentral
AAAUUGAAGAGUUUGAUCAUGGCUCAGAUUGAACGCUGGCGGCAGGCCUAACACAUGCAAGUCGAACGGUAACAGGAAACAGCUUGCUGUUUCGCUGACGAGUGGCGGACGGGUGAGUAAUGUCUGGGAAACUGCCUGAUGGAGGGGGAUAACUACUGGAAACGGUAGCUAAUACCGCAUAACGUCGCAAGACCAAAGAGGGGGACCUUCGGGCCUCUUGCCAUCGGAUGUGCCCAGAUGGGAUUAGCUAGUAGGUGGGGUAACGGC